UCCGAUGUGGUGUAGUGGCUAUCAUACUGCGCUUUCAAGCUCGGCGACUUGGGAGUGCCGCAGGGAUCGGGGUUCGAUUCCCCGCAUCGGAG
Metarhizium album ARSEF 1941 is the source of this 92-nucleotide transfer RNA. It matches the Rfam family "tRNA". Rfam says of the family: Transfer RNA (tRNA) molecules are approximately 80 nucleotides in length. Their secondary structure includes four short double-helical elements and three loops (D, anti-codon, and T loops). Lineage: Eukaryota; Fungi; Ascomycota; Sordariomycetes; Hypocreales; Clavicipitaceae. The record is from Rfam.